AAUGAACGUUGGCGGCGUGGAUUAGGCAUGCAAGUCGCGCGAUAACCGUAGCAAUACGGCGAAAGCGGCGAAAGGGAGAGUAAUGCAUGGAUAUCUACCCUCGGGUCUGGGAUAGCUGCGGGAAACUGCAGGUAAUACCAGAUAACAUCUCCGGAUCAAAGGUGUGAUCCCGCCCGAGGAGGGGUCCAUGUCCUAUUAGCUUGUUGGUGAGGUAACGGCUCACCAAGGCAAAGAUGGGUACGAGGUGUGAGAGCACGACCUCGCUCACUGGGACUGAGACACUGCCCAGACACCUACGGGUGGCUGCAGUCGAGAAUCUUCGGCAAUGGGCGCAAGCCUGACCGAGCGACGCCGCGUGCGGGAUGAAGGCCUUCGGGUUGUAAACCGCUGUCAGUGGGGAGGAAAUUCCGUAGGGUAAUCUCUAUGGAUUGACCUAUCCGCAGAGGAAGGAUGGGCUAAGUUCGUGCCAGCAGCCGCCGUAA
RNAcentral lists this ribosomal RNA (482 nucleotides) under uncultured bacterium. Its description in RNAcentral is "partial 16S ribosomal RNA". It matches the Rfam family "Bacterial small subunit ribosomal RNA", at positions 29 to 523 of the family's 1533-position model. The record is from RNAcentral.